AUUGAACGCUGGCGGCAGGCCUACACAUGCAAGUCGAGCGGAUGAAGGGAGCUUGCUCCUGGAUUCAGCGGCGGACGGGUGAGUAAUGCCUAGGAAUCUGCCUGGUAGUGGGGGAUAACGUCCGGAAACGGGCGCUAAUACCGCAUACGUCCUGAGGGAGAAAGUGGGGGAUCUUCGGACCUCACGCUAUCGGAUGAGCCUAGGUCGGAUUAGCUAGUUGGUGGGGUAAAGGCCUACCAAGGCGACGAUCCGUAACUGGUCUGAGAGGAUGAUCAGUCACACUGGAACUGAGACACGGUCCAGACUCCUACGGGAGGCAGCAGUGGGGAAUAUUGGACAAUGGGCGAAAGCCUGAUCCAGCCAUGCCGCGUGUGUGAAGAAGGUCUUCGGAUUGUAAAGCACUUUAAGUUGGGAGGAAGGGCAGUAAGUUAAUACCUUGCUGUUUUGACGUUACCAACAGAAUAAGCACCGGCUAACUUCGUG
Molecule: ribosomal RNA, 483 nt
Filed under: uncultured bacterium
Lineage: Bacteria
Description: partial 16S ribosomal RNA
Rfam family: Bacterial small subunit ribosomal RNA
Source: RNAcentral